UACACACACACACACACAGAGAUAUUUUAUUUUACUUUUUUUGUGUAUUUUUUAUAUGAGCGAGGGGUCAGUUUGUAUUGGAACAUUCGAGACAAUAAACAAACCACCCUUUCAGAAUUCUCUCCCUUCUCUCUCUUCGAUACUGUUCACCGUCUCUUUUCUUCUCCAAAUCCAUGGCUUCCAUGGACAUUAACAUGGUAUCAGAGCGGGUCAUUCGACUCUUCUCGUCAAGAGCUAUCAUCCGGUACUAGCCUCGUCGUCUAUCGUUCAAGUUUUCACCAGUUUUCACAAACUAGGGUUUUCUUCGUUUUUCUUCGCAGUCGGUUAGUAUCUCUUCUUCGAUUCAUCAAUUUUGAA
Molecule: long non-coding RNA, 357 nt
Filed under: Nicotiana benthamiana
Lineage: Eukaryota; Viridiplantae; Streptophyta; Magnoliopsida; Solanales; Solanaceae
Description: long non-coding RNA (NBEN_LNC009812)
Source: RNAcentral